GAUGAAGAACGCAGCGAAAUGAGAUAAGUAAUGUGAAUUGCAGAAUUCAGUGAAUCAUCGAAUCUUUGAACGCACAUUGCGCCCGCCAGUAUUCUGGCGGGCAUGCCUGUUCGAGCGUCAUUUCAACCAUCAAGCCCCCGGCUUGUGUUGGGGACCUGCGGCUGCCGCAGGCCCUGAAAAGCAGUGGCGGGCUCGCUGUCACACCGAGCGUAGUAGCAUACAUCUCGCUCUGGGCGUGCUGCGGGUUCCGGCCGUUAAACCACCUUCAUAACCCAAGGUUGACCUCGGAUCAGGGAGGAAGACCCGCUGAACUUAAGCAUAUCAAUAAGCGGAGGA
RNAcentral lists this unclassified non-coding RNA (336 nucleotides) under soil metagenome. RNAcentral describes it as "partial contains 5.8S ribosomal RNA, internal transcribed spacer 2, and large subunit ribosomal RNA". The stretch from base 1 to 120 matches the Rfam family "5.8S ribosomal RNA", at positions 35 to 154 of the family's 154-position model. The record is from RNAcentral.